GGGGGGUGCGCCGGAUCUUGAGCUGUAUCCCCAGCGCCCUGUGCUCCCUGGUCUGUGCUGUUGGAAUCGCGGUCCCGGCUGCACAGCUCCCU
Molecule: microRNA precursor, 92 nt
Filed under: Canis lupus familiaris (dog)
Lineage: Eukaryota; Metazoa; Chordata; Mammalia; Carnivora; Canidae
Description: mir-8799 microRNA precursor family
Rfam family: mir-8799 microRNA precursor family
Source: Rfam by way of RNAcentral